Molecule: ribosomal RNA, 1448 nt
Filed under: uncultured bacterium
Lineage: Bacteria
Description: 16S ribosomal RNA
Rfam family: Bacterial small subunit ribosomal RNA
Source: RNAcentral
GAUGAACGCUAGCGGCAGGCCUAACACAUGCAAGUCGAGGGGCAGCGAUUAUCUAGCUUGCUAGAUAAGUCGGCGACCGGCGCACGGGUGCGUAACGCGUAUGCAACCUACCUAUAACAGGGGGAUAAUCGAGAGAAAUUUUGUCUAAUACCCCGUAAUACUUUGAGCGGCAUCGUUUGGAGUUGAAAGAUUUAUUGGUUAUAGAUGGGCAUGCGUGACAUUAGUUAGAUGGUGAGGUAACGGCUCACCAUGACAUCGAUGUCUAGGGGAACUGAGAGGUUUAUCCCCCACACUGGUACUGAGACACGGACCAGACUCCUACGGGAGGCAGCAGUGAGGAAUAUUGGUCAAUGGACGGAAGUCUGAACCAGCCAUGCCGCGUGCAGGAAGACGGCUCUAUGAGUUGUAAACUGCUUUUGUAAGAGGGUAAAAGAGAGUACGCGUGCUCUAUUGAAAGUAUCUUACGAAUAAGGAUCGGCUAACUCCGUGCCAGCAGCCGCGGUAAUACGGAGGAUUCGAGCGUUAUCCGGAUUUAUUGGGUUUAAAGGGUGCGUAGGUGGUAUAAUAAGUUAGUGGUAAAAGGCUGUGGCUCAACCAUAGUACGCCAUUAAAACUGUUAAACUAGAGAUCAGAUGCAGCUGGCGGAAUGUGUAGUGUAGCGGUGAAAUGCAUAGAUAUUACACAGAACACCGAUUGCGAAGGCAGCUGGCUAAUCUGAAUCUGACACUGAGGCACGAAAGCGUGGGGAUCAAACGGGAUUAGAUACCCCGGUAGUCCACGCCGUAAACGAUGAUAACUCGAUGUCGGCGAUAUACAGUCGGUGUCCAAGCGAAAGCGAUAAGUUAUCCACCUGGGGAGUACGACCGCAAGGUUGAAACUCAAAGGAAUUGACGGGGGCCCGCACAAGCGGAGGAACAUGUGGUUUAAUUCGAUGAUACGCGAGGAACCUUACCCGGGCUUGAAAGUUAGCGACGAACGUAGAGAUAUGUUUUCCCUUCGGGGCGCGAAACUAGGUGCUGCAUGGUUGUCGUCAGCUCGUGCCGUGAGGUGUCGGGUUAAGUCCCAUAACGAGCGCAACCCCUAUCGAUAGUUACCAGCGAGUUAAGUCGGGGACUCUAUUGAGACUGCCAGUGUAAGCUGUGAGGAAGGUGGGGAUGACGUCAAAUCAGCACGGCCCUUACGUCCGGGGCGACACACGUGUUACAAUGGAUGGUACAGAGGGCAGCGACACAGCGAUGUGAAGCGAAUCUCGAAAGCCAUUCUCAGUUCGGAUUGGAGGCUGAAACUCGCCUCCAUGAAGUUGGAUUCGCUAGUAAUCGCAUAUCAGCCAUGAUGCGGUGAAUACGUUCCCGGGCCUUGUACACACCGCCCGUCAAGCCAUGGAAGUUGGGGGUGCCUGAAGUCCGUUACCGCGAGGAUCGGCCUAGGGCAAAACCGAUAACUGGGGC